UACGUAGGGUGCAAGCGUUGUCCGGAAUUAUUGGGCGUAAAGAGCUCGUAGGCGAUUUGUCGCGUCGAAUGUGAAAACCCGGGGCUCAACCCCGGGCCUGCAUUCGAUACGGGCAGACUAGAGUUCGGUAGGGGAGUCUGGAAUUCCUGGUGUAGCGGUGAAAUGCGUAGAUAUCCGGAGGAACACCGGUGGCGAAGGCGGCUUCCUGGACCGACACUGACGCUGAGGCGCGAAAGCUAGGGGAGCAAACGGG
This 253-nucleotide ribosomal RNA is filed under the name uncultured bacterium. Its description in RNAcentral is "partial 16S ribosomal RNA". It matches the Rfam family "Bacterial small subunit ribosomal RNA", at positions 524 to 776 of the family's 1533-position model. The record is from RNAcentral.